GUGUUGCAGAAGAGUCCCAGAAUAGGACGAAACAGUUGUCUAGUAC
RNAcentral lists this non-coding RNA (46 nucleotides) under Trichobilharzia regenti. The record is from RNAcentral. Lineage: Eukaryota; Metazoa; Platyhelminthes; Trematoda; Strigeidida; Schistosomatidae.